This 2799-nucleotide long non-coding RNA is filed under the name Homo sapiens (human). RNAcentral describes it as "HSALNT0354588". Lineage: Eukaryota; Metazoa; Chordata; Mammalia; Primates; Hominidae. The record is from RNAcentral.
CGAGGAAUGGGCCCUCACCGGACAUCAUAUCUGCUGGUACCCUGACUUUGUGCCCUGACUUCCCAGAUUCCUGAACUAGUCAGCACGUAAGCCGGACUGUCUAGGAAAACCUCCCCUUCCUGUGUCUGGAGGUGUUGAAAAAAAUAAUUCAACAAUGCUGCCCCUGCUGGCCACCAGUGUACCAUGCAAUAAUUCCAUGGCCCCUGCCACAGCCCAGGAAAUGGAGGAAAUGGCCAGGCAGCCACAUUCUCUCAUCCUGCAGAAGGACCCUUCUAGGUGUUAGAGGUUGAGGGAUUUUGGCUACAUAUGGCCCCAUACAUCUUCCUAGCUAUAGAUUCCAAUGGAAGAAGAGAACUUUCUUUCCUCUACUGAGUGCAUAUAAACUUCUGCAUCUUGCUUCUGGCCUCAACUUGAUCUUCAGCAUCAACAUCAAGCAGAGCAGCAUGAGAUGCAGUGCAAUGAAUAAACAGUUCUUGGUCACGGGCUUGCCCUUGCAGUCUGGAAAGAAAAUCCUGCAACUGAGAGAGCCACCAUGAUUUCCUGAAGUAUUUGGUGAAGAACCAUUCUCCAAACGUGAAGUCAGGAGAUAUGUAUUGCUAUUAUCAGAGCUGAGGAAAAGACACUAGAAGUUUGAAAUCUCAGAUGUCCACAGCAUCAUGACACAUAGUUAGGAUUCCAUGCUGAAUAGAAGGGGGAACCUACUGAAGAGUUUUCAGCAGAAGAGAGACCCAAUAAAACUUGCGUGUAAAUUAUAACCAUUGCUUCUGUAUAGCAUUCUGAUUGGAGAGUCAGGUAUAGAUGCACAGAGAGCAGUUAGAAGGUUAUUAUAGUAGUCUAGAAGUGACUGUGGACUUGUAGGGAAAUGGCAAAUAUUUAGAAAACAAAUUCAAUAACACUCAGCAAUCAGUUGGACUUGGGGUAUGAGGAAGGGAGAAAUGUCUGGUCUGAUUCCAUCACAAGGCCUUGUAUAUGCUGUUCCCUUUGCCUAAAAAUUCCCUUAGCUCCUCUUUUAACCUGGCGAAAUGUUGCUCCUUCAUCAGGUCUCAGCUUGAGCAUCUCUUCUCCAGGGAAAUUGAUCCUCUUGCCUUUCCCCUGUUUAAUUUCCCUUCCCAUCACUUAUCACAGUUUAUAACGUUAUAUUCACUCACUUAUAAAGUACUUUCUUAAAUAUUUUAGCUCCUCUACAAGGAUGUAUAAUCCUUGAAGCAGGAGCUGUUCCCACCCAAGAAAAUGAAAAUCUCAGUCAUUAAGUACACAAACACGGGUCCAGAUUGCUUGGUUUCAAAUCUUGGUUCUGCUACUGGCCAGCUGUGUGAUCCAAGAAAAGCUACUCGACUUCUCUGUGUCUUCAUCUGCUCAUCUGUCAAAUGGAUAUAUGAGUAGUCCUACUUCAUGGAGUUGUUGCGAGGAAUCCAUUAGGUAAUGUAUCCAAAGCCUUUAGAAGGAUGUCAUGUUUAUAGUAAGCACUAGCACAGUGAUAGCUGCUUUAAUUGUUCUCUUCUUCUUUGUCCCUAGUACCUCUCCUAGUGCCUGCAGCCACGCAAUACAUAUUUGAAAAGUAAGUGGAAAUCUGUCAAGUGUAAGUUACUGUGUGGAUAUUGGUGUGAUGCACAGAGAAGAGGAAGCACUGGAAGAUGAUCAUGGAAGGGAGAGAAGGCAAGCUUGCAAAAUCAGCAUUGGCUAUUUAAAUAAUAUCUGCCUAUGAUGCUGUCAAGGAAAAAUGUUGUGGAGCCGUUGGAAAUGUGACAUUGAAGCUCAAAACAGAGGCCUGAGGGGAUUGAUUAAUUUCCCAGAGCCGCCAUAAUAAGGUACCACAAACUAGGUGGUUUAAAACAAUAAACAUUUAUUGUAUCACAGUUCUGGUGGCCAGAAGUCUGAAAUCAGGUAUUGGCAGGAUUUUGCCCCCUGAAGGGCCCUAGGGAAGGAUUCUUUCUUGCCAUUCCAGCUUCUGGUGGUCCCAAGUGAUCAUUGGCUUGCAGUAGCAUCACCCCAGUGUCUGCCCCUGUCUUCACAUGGCCUUCACUCUAUCUGAGUCCAAAUCUCCCUUUUCCUACGAGGAUAGCAGUCAUGUUGCAUAAAGGGUCCAACUACUCCAGUGUGACUUCAUCUUAACUACUUACAUCUGCCACAGUCCUACUUUCAAGAAAGUUCACAUUCUGAGGUAUUAAGGCAAUCAGUGUUUCAGUGUAUCUUUUGAGAGGACAUAAUUUCACCCACAACAGAAGUGAUAUACAUUUGGGGGUUACUGGCAUUUGAAUGCUAUUUUGAGCCAAGGCUAUAGAGAAGAGCAGCCUUGUAGCUAAGAGCUCAGGUCCUAUCAAUCCAUACAGACCUGGGAUUGACACUCAGUUCCAUUACUGACUGGCUCAGAUCUUGGUAAAGUUGCCUAACAUUUCGAAGACUUAGUUUCUUAGCCUGUUAAAAAAGGGAUAAUAAAACCUCCAGGUUUCUUGUAAAUAUGAACUGAGGAAAUGAUUGUAAAGUGGUGAGCAUAGCACAUCUUAUAGGGUGAGUCUUCAGUAAAUGGUGUCUGUUAGUUAAGAUUUUGUAUGGAAAGAAUCUAACCUGAGAAAGAAGGAAGAGUGAGGAAUAAAUUUUUAACCAAGAGGAAACACCCCAUUUUAGUUAGAAAUGACCCAAGAGAGCAACCAGAAUAAUGAAAAUACUAUAAAUUAUUUUCUGGUGUUUUGGAUUUAUAUAUAGUUCAAGAAUUUAGCCCUGUGCCUGACCUAAGACAGAUAAUCAAUAUGCAGUUGGAUGGCUAGACUGAAUGAACAUCAGGGACAUAUUUAGCCACCA